UGAAAUGUUCAGGACCACUUG
Molecule: microRNA, 21 nt
Filed under: Petromyzon marinus (sea lamprey)
Lineage: Eukaryota; Metazoa; Chordata; Hyperoartia; Petromyzontiformes; Petromyzontidae
Also listed under: 1 other name
Description: Pma-Mir-203-o3-v2_3p (mature (guide))
Source: RNAcentral